This 468-nucleotide ribosomal RNA is filed under the name uncultured bacterium. RNAcentral's name for it is "partial 16S ribosomal RNA". It matches the Rfam family "Bacterial small subunit ribosomal RNA", at positions 28 to 507 of the family's 1533-position model. The record is from RNAcentral.
GACGAACGCUGGCGGCGUGCUUAACACAUGCAAGUCGAACGGAAAGGCCCUGCUUUUGUGGGGUGCUCGAGUGGCGAACGGGUGAGUAACACGUGAGUAACCUGCCCUUGACUUUGGGAUAACUUCAGGAAACUGGGGCUAAUACCGGAUAGGAGCUCCUGCUGCAUGGUGGGGGUUGGAAAGUUUCGGCGGUUGGGGAUGGACUCGCGGCUUAUCAGCUUGUUGGUGGGGUAGUGACUUACCAAGGCUUUGACGGGUAGCCGGUCUGAGAGGGUGACCGGCCACAUUGGGACUGAGAUACGGCCCAGACUCCUACGGGAGGCAGCAGUGGGGAAUAUUGCACAAUGGGCGGAAGCCUGAUGCAGCAACGCCGCGUGCGGGAUGACGGCCUUCGGGUUGUAAACCGCUUUCGCCUGUGACGAAGCGUGAGUGACGGUAAUGGGUAAAGAAGCACCGGCUAACUACGUG